Non-coding RNA from Cerrena zonata, 90 nucleotides. The record is from the annotation of a GenBank genome assembly. NCBI's taxonomy places the organism in Eukaryota, Fungi, Basidiomycota, Agaricomycetes, Polyporales, Cerrenaceae.
CCUUCGAUAGCUCAGCUGGAAGAGCGCAAGACUGCACCGGCUGCCUUGUCAAUUAUCUUGGGGUCCCUGGUUCGAUCUCGUGUCGAAGGA